RNAcentral lists this small nuclear RNA (101 nucleotides) under Castor canadensis (American beaver). The record is from RNAcentral. Lineage: Eukaryota; Metazoa; Chordata; Mammalia; Rodentia; Castoridae.
GUGCUCACUUGGGCAGCACACAUACUGGAACGAUACAGAGAAAAUUAGCAUGGCCCCUACACAAGGAUGACAUGCAAAUUCAUGAAGUGUUCCAUAUUUAA